CCCUGUAGCUCAGUUGGUAGAGCAUGGUGUUUGCAACGCCAGGGUCGUGGGUUUGAUUCCCACUGGGG
This 68-nucleotide transfer RNA is filed under the name Salmo salar (Atlantic salmon). It matches the Rfam family "tRNA". Rfam says of the family: Transfer RNA (tRNA) molecules are approximately 80 nucleotides in length. Their secondary structure includes four short double-helical elements and three loops (D, anti-codon, and T loops). Lineage: Eukaryota; Metazoa; Chordata; Actinopteri; Salmoniformes; Salmonidae. The record is from Rfam by way of RNAcentral.